Long non-coding RNA from Penaeus monodon (black tiger shrimp), 1332 nucleotides. RefSeq lists it as uncharacterized. Lineage: Eukaryota; Metazoa; Arthropoda; Malacostraca; Decapoda; Penaeidae. The transcript is spliced from 4 exons. The record is from RefSeq and is a predicted model, not a curated record.
CGCGAAGGUCAGUCUUCAAAAGCAACUGCCAGCGAAGGGAAGGACACUAUUAGUCACUCCCUCCCGCACUGGGCGCAACUGAGGCCAGACAAGUCAAGACGAGGAGCAUCUCCAGGAUUUCGUCUUUUUCGUCUUCAAGAAAUACGGAGACACUGAAUCCGGGUUGUCGCGAGAGGCAAACGAGCACAAACUCACCAUGAAUAAAGUUCUUCUUCUGACGGUGCUGCUGGCGGUUCUCGUAGGCGUGGCGUGGUCCUUCCCGCAGGUGGUCAUAACGCAGCCACGGAAGUUCCCCGGAGAAAGGCGUCUGGGGACCAUUAACUACGGCCAAUAUCGCUUCGGCAAGAGAGGGUACCAGAGGAAGUGCCAUUCAAGAAAAAAGAACUGUAAGUUUCAUUAGAGAGAGAAAAAGACAUACUCCUUAAAACUGGACAUAAUGAAUCCAAGCUAACAGAGGCUACGCAAGGAAGGUAUAUAUAUGUAUAUAUAUAUAUAUAUAUAUAUAUAUAUAUAUAUAUAUAUAUAUAUAUAUAUAUAUACAAGAGUUAGAUGGUAUAUAAGAAUCCUUUUAACAUAUUGGAAAAUGUGUGCAAUGAAUCCAAGCUAACAGAGGAAGGUAUAUGUAUAUAAAGAGUUAGAUGGUAUAUAAGAAUCCUGUUAACGUAUUGGAAAAUGUAGUGCAAACACGGAUUUUCGAUACGAAAUUAUGCAGUCGUUAACGAAAGGCACGUUAGGUUAGGGAAGUUAAAUCAGUGUGUGCGUAAGAUACUGCCACAGUGAGAGAAAGUUAUAUAUAUAUAAUUAAGAUUAUAGUAUCUUGUACUCUUAUCGUCACAACAACUUAAACUAAACGUCUUGAAAUACUCAGUAAUAAUCUAUGGUCAAAUUGCUUUACCAUUGAAAAUUGGACCGUCUACUACCAUGCGAUUAGUUACAGACAAUGAACACCACAAGGGAGGUGUUGUGAGAUCCAGUUCAUUUUCCUUUUGUGUGUCUUUAUUUUUACCUUUCUUAAGGGAUCUGAAACAAUUGUCAAAACUGUAGGUUAAGAGAAAACCUAUGGCAUGUUGUAAAUUGAUUUAUAUUAAAUCAUCCAUGUUUAUAAUGAUUUAGUACGUUUGUGUAUGUUUGCGUGUAAGCUAUGUAGUGUUAUUUUAACACAAUGUUAACAAAGUUAAUAUAAAAAGCAUUAUAUAUUUGUUAUUUUUGUACUUCAGUCAUAGAAUAUUUUACUACGGCAUUUUAAAUAUGUGUUAUGAAUAUAUGUUACUUAAGUCGCUGACUGUUAUGUAAAUGCUUCAAUUGUUUAGAAAAAGAAAUGUUUUCUUUUAA